CCAAAAUCGCCAUAUUCUCUUCUCAGGAUCUCACCUUGGUUCGAAGAGCCCUCCCUCGUUUAGGUGUCCUGCUCUGAUAUCAAUUGUAAAAUCGAGAUACAACGAAAACACAAGGCACAAAGUAAUUCCAAGAACUCGUAUAUAUUUUAUUAGAAAUCCUUUACACAAUCUCUUACAGACUUGUUUGAUCUGAAUUACACAACUCAACACGAAUCGAUUUCUAACACACCUUAGCAACAACUUUUAUAUCUUGUAUCUUUGGAAUCGCAAUCUUUGAUUGAGUUUCAUCCUUUCGUGCACCUGAAACAGCUGGAACUGAGGGUUUUACAAACUUGAUUUCUUCAUUCUUGUCAACCGUGUGAGAACUAGUUCCAUGAUGACCUCACUUUCUACAGAACAAGCCUCCAUUCCUACACGCUGUGUUUUGAUUCUCUUUAGUCAUUGUCACUGAUCCUGAUUUUUCUUCAACUUUUGGUUUGUCAUCUGAUUUUACUUCAGCUUUUAUGAACCUUAUUCCUCCAGCCUCGUCAUAGUCUGUUGCAGUCCACUUUGUCUUCGAUUUAAGUGUCUUCAAGCCAUCUUCUUGCAUCACCAACGGUUCUUCCCAUCCAGAUUGAACAACUGUCCAUAUAUCUUCAUCAGCUCCACGUAAGUUUGCUCUCAUUCUCACUUUCCAAUAUCCAUAAUUCACAUCAUUAUGCAGCAAAAUAUCGUGUGCCAAAAUCGCCAUAUUCUCUUCUCAGGAUCUCACCUUGGUUCGAAGAGCCCUCCCUCGUUUAGGUGUCCUGCUCUGAUAUCAAUUGUAAAAUCGAGAUACAACGAAAACACAAGGCACAAAGUAAUUCCAAGAACUCGUAUAUAUUUUAUUAGAAAUCCUUUACACAAUCUCUUACAGACUUGUUUGAUCUGAAUUACACAAC
Molecule: long non-coding RNA, 920 nt
Filed under: Brassica napus (rape)
Lineage: Eukaryota; Viridiplantae; Streptophyta; Magnoliopsida; Brassicales; Brassicaceae
Description: long non-coding RNA (BNAP_LNC018363)
Source: RNAcentral